Molecule: long non-coding RNA, 529 nt
Filed under: Glycine max (soybean)
Lineage: Eukaryota; Viridiplantae; Streptophyta; Magnoliopsida; Fabales; Fabaceae
Description: long non-coding RNA (GMAX_LNC003354)
Source: RNAcentral
CCUGAUAUUGUCAUGUCCCUUCAAAACAUAAAAGAGAAAAGGUGAACAUCAAGACAGAAAAACAAACAGAGACAGGUUACAUUUUACUGAGUGGCCUCAACAUAAAAAUAGUACGAUGGAUAUGAAGCAAAAUGGAGGAUUUGAGCGGCUAUAUGAAGCAAGGAAGCCAACAGGCACUAGGGUUUCUGGACCUUUUGACAUCUGAGGAGAAAGAUUUAUUACCUGUUAGAAUGAAAGAAUGAGCAGGUGGAUGAGAGUGAGGGCCACUUAGCUAAAAAACAAUCGUCCUGAAAAUGGAGGGGGAAGAAGUUUUAAUGGAUUGAACAAUGUGGUAUAAGUUUGGAGAUUAAUCCCACAGUGAUGAAGGGAAAAUGAAUGACAUGAACUCGAAGGCAUAGAGGUACGAAGAGAAAUGAGUUGGGAGGGGCAUCUCUUCUAGUGUGUGGGUUAUGAGAAAGGAUUGAGAGUGAGUUUAUUUAUGCUAGAGUCAUAAUUAAGGGAAGAUCAUGAGAGGAGGAACGAGAAUCAG